CCUACGGGGGGCGGCAGUGAGGGAUUUUGCGCAAUGGGGGAAACCCUGACGCAGCAACGCCGCGUGAGUGAAGAAGGUCUUUGGGUCGUAAAGCUCUGUCAACAGGGAAGAAGUUAUUGAGUAUAAAUAGUACUUAGUAUUGACGGUACCUGUGAAGGAAGCACCGGCUAACUCCGUGCCAGCAGCCGCGGUAACACGGGGGGUGCAAGCGUUAUUCGGAAUUAUUGGGCGUAAAGGGCGCGUAGGCGGUUAUGUCAGUCAGAUGUGAAAGCCCGGGGCUCAACCCCGGAAGAGCAUUUGAAACAGCAUAACUUGAGUACGGGAGAGGAAAGCGGAAUUCCUGGUGUAGAGGUGAAAUUCGUAGAUAUCAGGAGGAACACCGAUGGCGAAGGCAGCUUUCUGGACCGAUACUGACGCUGAGGCGCGAAGGCGUGGGUAGCGAACAGGAUUAGAUACCCUGGUAGUCCACGCAGUAAACGAUGUUCACUAGGUGCUGGGGAUAUUAAAAUUUUCAGUGCCGGAGCUAACGCAUUAAGUGAACCGCCUGGGGAGUACGGUCGCAAGACUAAAACUCAAAGGAAUUGACGG
RNAcentral lists this ribosomal RNA (588 nucleotides) under uncultured bacterium. RNAcentral's name for it is "bacterial SSU rRNA". It matches the Rfam family "Bacterial small subunit ribosomal RNA", at positions 338 to 916 of the family's 1533-position model. The record is from RNAcentral.